UACGUAGGGUGCAAGCGUUAAUCGGAAUUACUGGGCGUAAAGCGUGCGCAGGCGGUGAUGUAAGACAGAUGUGAAAUCCCCGGGCUCAACCUGGGAACUGCAUUUGUGACUGCAUCGCUGGAGUACGGCAGAGGGGGAUGGAAUUCCGCGUGUAGCAGUGAAAUGCGUAGAUAUGCGGAGGAACACCGAUGGCGAAGGCAAUCCCCUGGGCCUGUACUGACGCUCAUGCACGAAAGCUAGGGGAGCGAACAGG
Molecule: ribosomal RNA, 253 nt
Filed under: uncultured bacterium
Lineage: Bacteria
Description: partial 16S ribosomal RNA
Rfam family: Bacterial small subunit ribosomal RNA
Source: RNAcentral